AGCAGUCGCCGCGGUAAUACGAAGGGUGCAAGCGUUACUCGGAAUUACUGGGCGUAAAGCGUGCGUAGGUGGUGGUUUAAGUCCGUUGUGAAAGCCCUGGGCUCAACCUGGGAAUUGCAGUGGAUACUGGGUCACUAGAGUGUGGUAGAGGAUAGUGGAAUUUCCGGUGUAGCAGUGAAAUGCGUAGAGAUCGGAAGGAACAUCUGUGGCGAAGGCGACUAUCUGGGCCAACACUGACACUGAGGCACGAAAGCGUGGGGAGCAAACAGGAUUAGAUACCCGGGUAGUCCCUGUCUCUUAACA
This 303-nucleotide ribosomal RNA is filed under the name uncultured bacterium. Its description in RNAcentral is "partial 16S ribosomal RNA". It matches the Rfam family "Bacterial small subunit ribosomal RNA", at positions 507 to 808 of the family's 1533-position model. The record is from RNAcentral.